CGGACGGGUGAGUAACGCGUGGGAACAUACCCUUUGGUUCGGAAUAGCCUCGGGAAACUGGGAGUAAUACCGGAUGUGCUCUCUUAUCGUAGUGAUGGGGGAGGAAAGAUUUAUCGCCAAAGGAUUGGCCCGCGUUGGAUUAGGUAGUUGGUGGGGUAAUGGCCUACCAAGCCGACGAUCCAUAGCUGGUUUGAGAGGAUGAUCAGCCACACUGGGACUGAGACACGGCCCAG
This 233-nucleotide ribosomal RNA is filed under the name uncultured bacterium. RNAcentral's name for it is "partial 16S ribosomal RNA". It matches the Rfam family "Bacterial small subunit ribosomal RNA", at positions 99 to 334 of the family's 1533-position model. The record is from RNAcentral.